Molecule: long non-coding RNA, 1425 nt
Organism: Marmota flaviventris (yellow-bellied marmot)
Lineage: Eukaryota; Metazoa; Chordata; Mammalia; Rodentia; Sciuridae
Source: RefSeq, a predicted model, not a curated record
AGCCAGCUGCCAUGAACUGAAGAGUUUUUCUCUGCCAUGCCCUUGCACCAUGGUGCUACUGCCUUGGCACCAGCUGACCAGGGACUGAAACCUCUGAAACCAUGAGCCAAGCUUCAUGAGAUUGACAUCUGAAAAUACUAGUAUUUUGGGUAAAUACUUCUACCUUAGAGACUGGGGAUGAGUUAUCUGAAAGAAAUGUGGAAAUGAAAAGACCUUGUCUUUUCCCAUCCCAAAUUCUGGAACAUUCAGGGGAGAGACUGCUGGUCAAUGACUGUGCCUAACUUCAGGAUUUAUUGGACAUCUUAGGAGAAAAUAAUUUCCACCUCAAUUUCAAGUAUGAAAGUAGCAUCAUUUUCUUAUGUUUCUCCAUCCCACCUCCAAGGUCAUUUGGGAAAAAUGAAACACACUCACCAGUCAAGGCCAAGAGGCCCAGCAACAGCCACAAUGCAGACAUGUCAAGGGUCUGGCUCUACAGCUCCUGAAAUCAAAAUUAGCUUGGAGAUGAGAAAACAGCAAUCGCUGUCAACAACAUGUAAUGCUUCUAUGGGAGGAAGAUGAAUGGAAAGAGUUCACUUAUCUCCAAAGAAGGAAAAUUAAUGAUUUGGGUCACAGUUAAAAAUCAAGAGUGGGACAAAUGCUCCACCUAUCCUUUAAUUAGCUUAAAAAAUGGGAAGACUUCUGCUUGGUCUACAGGAACUCAAUAUCGCAUCCAGACACUGGAUACUAAUUAUUUUAAGACGCCAAGAUGCUUUGGUUCUCAGUACCGAGAACAUGGUAACUGGGUUCAAGACUCAGAAAAGCAAAUAUUUGAUGCACCUGUCUUAUCCCAAGAGCCUCUUCAUUAUCAAACUAUAAUGUGAAAAGGAGAAGUUCAUAUUGGUCAUUUCUCUGAAUCUGGAUUCUUCUCUCUCAGUUGGAGGAAAGGUCACACUUCUUCAGGGCCUUGGAAUGGCUACUGAGUCUUAGGAUGAAGGAAGGAGCCUGAGGGCAUUCCAACUCCUCAGCCCGAGUCUGGGAAUCCAGAUGCCUUUGAUCACUUUGAACCAUGUUCCCCAAUAUCCCUCUGUAAAACUCCUGGGCUGAAGCUGCAGAGAAUGGAGAGACAAGUUCCCAGGAAAGUGGGUCAUGGGCAGGGGUCCUAGGAUCCACUCAUGAGGGGCUUGCUCAACAGGCCAUCUGACAACUGGCUGCCAUGGAGAUCAUGUUCCCAUGCUUUCUCUCUUAUUCCAGCCAUUCCGCCCGUUACUACCACAGCCCCUGCCCCUACUAGCUACCAAACUAAUGCAUAAAAGCCACCAAGAACAGUUGACCCCAGGGAAUGCUGGAGGAACCAGCUCCCUGCCCCCAAAACUUCCACUUCCCCCAUCUCCAUCAUCAGCAGAGCCUGGUGACUUGCCAUUUUGAAUUAUUACCAUCAUUAUGUGU